UCCUGCCGGACCCGACUGCUAUCAGAGUGAGAUUAAGCCAUGCGAGUUAACGUAGCAAUACGUGGCGCACGGCUCAGUAACACGUAGUCAACAUGCCCAGAGGACGUGGAUAACCUCGGGAAACUGAGUCUAAACCGCGAUAAGUGAGGAUUUCUGGAAUGGUUCCUGACUAAAAUCUAUAUGGCCUCUGGAUUGGACUGCGGCCGAUCAGGCUGUUGGUGAGGUAAUGGCCCACCGAACCUGUAACCGAUGCGGGCUCUGAGAGGAGGAGCCCGGAGAUGGGCACUGAGACAAGGGCCCAGGCCCUAUGGGGCGCAGCAGGCGCGAAACCUCUGCAAUAGGCGAAAGCCUGACAGGGUUACUCUGAGUGACUUUCGCUAAGAAAGUCUUUUGGCACCUCUAAAAAGGGUGCAGAAUAAGGGGUGGUCAAGUCUGGUGUCAUCCGCCGCGGUAAUACCAGCACCCCGAGUGGUCGGGACGAUUAUUGGGCCUAAAGCAUCCGUAGCCGGUUCUGCAAGUCCCCCGUUAAAUCCAGCUGCUCAACAGAUGGGCCGCGGAGGAUACUACAGAGCUAGGAGGCAGGAGAGGCAAGCGGUACUCAGUGGGUAGGGGUAAAAUCCGUUGAUCCAUUGAAGACCACCAGUGGCGAAGGCGGCUUGCCAGAAUGCGCUCGACGGUGAGGGAUGAAAGCGGGGGGAGCAAACCGGAUUAGAUACCCGGGUAGUCCCAGCCGUAAACGAUGCAGACUCGGUGAUGGGUUGGCUUCGCGCUAACCCAGUGCCGCAGGGAAGCCGUUAAGUCUGCCGCCUGGGUAGUACGGUCGCAAGACUGAAACUUAAAGGAAUUGGCGGGUA
Molecule: ribosomal RNA, 854 nt
Filed under: uncultured archaeon
Lineage: Archaea
Description: bacterial SSU rRNA
Rfam family: Archaeal small subunit ribosomal RNA
Source: RNAcentral